GCGCGAGUGGCGGAAUCGGUAGACGCGCUAGCUUCAGGAGCUAGUGUACAUUUGUACGUGGAGGUUCAAGUCCUCUCUCGCGCACCA
Molecule: transfer RNA, 87 nt
Filed under: Candidatus Saccharimonadota bacterium
Lineage: Bacteria; Candidatus Saccharimonadota
Also listed under: 1 other name
Description: tRNA-Leu
Rfam family: tRNA
About the family: Transfer RNA (tRNA) molecules are approximately 80 nucleotides in length. Their secondary structure includes four short double-helical elements and three loops (D, anti-codon, and T loops).
Source: RNAcentral